Molecule: signal recognition particle RNA, 308 nt
Filed under: Pongo abelii (Sumatran orangutan)
Lineage: Eukaryota; Metazoa; Chordata; Mammalia; Primates; Hominidae
Description: Metazoan signal recognition particle RNA (ENSPPYG00000037132.1)
Rfam family: Metazoan signal recognition particle RNA
About the family: The signal recognition particle (SRP) is a universally conserved ribonucleoprotein.
Source: Rfam by way of RNAcentral
GCUGGGCGUGGUGGCACGUGCCUGUAAUCCCAGCUACUCGGGAGGCUGAGGCAGGAGAAUUGCUUGAACCUGGGAAGCAGAGGUUGCAGUGAGCCGAGAUCACGCCACUGCACUCCAGCCUGGUGAUGGAGUGAGACUCUGUCUCAAAAAAAAAAAGUGUGGUAAAAUGCAUGUAACAUACAGUUGACCUUGAUCAUUUUUUUUUUGAGAUGGAGUUUUGCUCUUGUUGCCCAGGCUGGAGUGCAAUGGUGCAAUCUCGGCUCACUGCAACCUCCACCUCCCAGGUUCAAGCAAUUCUCCUGCCUCAG